GAGGGCGGAGGUCAUCGGGCAAGUUCAGUUCCCAAAGAGGAGGCCGUCCGAACGUGCCGAAGUCAGCCAAGAAAGAAAGAAGGAAAGAUGCGCGCAUUAUUCCAUGAUGAUGCAAACGCGGCCAAUCCACAUUCCGUUUUCUUCUUCUUUCACCUCCACGCGCGCACGGCUCUAGUUAGGCACUCAGUAGUCAGGGGUGGACGACACGAGCAAGUAUCUAUCUACCUCCGCGCCGGCGAUCGACUCGAGCGUCACGUUGGACGGUUUGCAACCCUCGGCUGUUAACUCCGCUUGAUAUUUUAUCUAAGCCCAACUUGACAUGUAGCUUGUUCACGAGUCCUAACAUCUGAUUAGGUCCUAGUAAUAGAUUAUUAACUGCGGUGUCUUGAUAUUUCGUCUCCACUACUCCCUCCGUUACGGUUUAGAAGACACAGUUAAAUUUGCGUGCGUUUCCACAAUAGACAAGGUUUAAGGCGCAUUGCAUUUAUUUCUAGUAGCUAAUUAGUACUCCAAUAUACUAUUUCUAUAUGCAUGCGUAGUGUGAAUGCCGUCUCAUAACCAAUAGAUAACCACCUAGGUUUCGGAGAAUUUCCAAGUGCGCCUUCUAAACCGUAAACAAAGAUAGUACAACAACUGCAUGUCAUCCAUCNNNNNNNNNNNNNNNNNNNNNNNNNNNNNNNNNNNNNNNNNNNNNNNNNNNNNNNNNNNNNNNNNNNNNNNNNNNNNNNNNNNNNNNNNNNNNNNNNNNNNNNNNNNNNNNNNNNNNNNNNNNNNNNNNNNNNNNNNNNNNNNNNNNNNNNNNNNNNNNNNNNNNNNNNNNNNNNNNNNNNNNNNNNNNNNNNNNNNNNNNNNNNNNNNNNNNNNNNNNNNNNNNNNNNNNNNNNNNNNNNNNNNNNNNNNNNNNNNNNNNNNNNNNNNNNNNNNNNNNNNNNNNNNNNNNNNNNNNCAAAUCUGCAGUGUGAUUGGUGGACCCUCCGUUGGUUGGUGCUACCAUCCAUCAACGCAUGAGGCCAACUCUAACGCGCGACUUCAAACGGACGUGUUGUUCGGAUUCUGUCCGUUUGGGUAGAACGAUGGGGUCAUGUCCGGGCGUGUCCUGGGAUGCGGUGGCCAUGCGCCCAGCGCGCGGACGCAUCCCGGCUGCAUCCUGUUCGCUUACAUUUUACUUUGCAAGUUCUUCAUUUUUUUUCAUCAUUCAUUUUCGAUACAUGAAAAAUACAUCAUCACAAUUUGACUAGAAAAGCAAGACCAAAGAAAACAAGAAUCACAAGAAUACAUUUUAGAAGAUGCCGAACUUCCAUAACUGCUCCCUUGAGUUGGAUUAGGCCCUUUUCGAUGCACUCAUUGUUGAUCUGUGGAGGAGGCUCGAUCUGGCAUCCUCCUUUCUUCUUCAAGCCAGAAGUCGAUGUUGCUUCCUCACACCUAGUCUCGUGUCUAGCCUCUAAUCUAGCAACAAGUGCACUUGUCUCAUCUACAUCCUCUAUGCUAGCUAAAAGUGCACGAACAUGUAUUAAAUUUUGCUCUAUCAGUAUAUCGAUGUACUCUUCUUCCCAAUACCAAAACUUGCAUCCAUGCUACACAAUAAAAUUUGAAGUUAGCACAACUAGUCAAAUCUAGAGCACAAACCAAAGCUAAAAAGACCACGUACCCCAUCGUUUAAGCACUUGAUGAACACCCAUCCAGGAUGUUCCGGCGUUGUAGACACGCGGCGCACGACCAUCCUUGGGCAGUGGUCGCACUUAAUGAGUGGCAACGGUGCGCAGAUGAGCUUUUGGGCAAGCACCGAGCCCGGCCGACCGCCAUUCGUGUAUCUGCCAGCGGACCACCGACGGUGCAGAUCCGAGCGGCUAGAGGAGGAGCCACUGCCUGCAUGUGGCCUUGCGGCCCUGCCAGGGCCUUCCGGCGAGGUGCCCGGCCAGUCCAUGCCGCGGCCCGGCCUCCCACAGCCGGGCGAGCUCAAGACCGACCGUAUCCGGCCCAAAUCCGGCCGGUGGGUGCGCAAACCAGGUGGCCGUGGUUGGGUAGCUCAGCGGCGCCGAGGGGAAGGGCCUGGGCGAGCGCGCAUCCGAACUGCACGGCUGCAAUACCGGCGGCGGCGAGGGGAAGAGUGGGGAAGACUGGAGGGGGGUGCGGCUGGAGGGAGGGAGGGAGCUGAUAGAAAAAGGCCCGCCCUAUGCCACCGACGGGCGGGCCAGGGAAGGACAUGCGCAGACGGCCCGCACGUCCGUGUGGUGUCCGUUCCACCCAAAAAGCGGCACAAACUUGGGUCAGGGAUGAGUCGAAAACGGACACAAAACGAAUAAAAAUUCGUUUGCUCCCGCGCGCCGGGCCGUUUGAUUUGUCCAUUUUACCUUAAACGGACGAGGGCGGAUAGGAUAGGGUCGCGCGGUGAAGUUGGCCUGAGAACUUGGAUUAGCUAAGCUGUCAAUGGACUAUUUAUUUAGUUUCCUCCGCUGCUCGCCAGCUGGGUGUAGCUAUCGACUCCAUCAGUGUGGUGAUGGACUCCUGCUUUGUGCUCGCACCACAUGGACCGUUGACGCAUGCAUGCGGCAUGUCUCACCCCCCACUUCUCUCCCAUUAUUUUAGGCUCAGAGUUGAUAGAGAUGCAUUGAUUAGGCGCUAGAUGAAGCAAAGAUCACGUCACAGAUUCGUGGCCUUUGGACAGGCGGCGAUCCCGACGUGCUUCACGAGGCAGAGUGCAUUGCUCUGCUAUGUGUACUUCCCCUUUUUUUCUGUCGAAGGAAUGUUUUGGCCGGUCAUAAUAGGCAAGAAUAUAAGCUAGUAACUUACACAUUUCCCUAGACUAUAUUAUUACCUUCAUAGUGGGUAGGAACAUCUAUGUAGUGUCAUGCAACGAUAUAUUUAUUAGAUUAUAGACUCAUUGUUUUUUGAAGUGUGUGAUGUUCCGGUAACUCAUUGUUUAGCACCUCUCUUCAUUAAAUAUGUAUCAUAUAAGCAAAGUUGUAUUGGAAUGUGUGAUGUUACUUCUAAGUUUUUCUCUAUUGUGACCAGCCUUAGGAUGAAAGAAUCGAAUUUGUUUUUGAACUCCACGCCCACACGCGGCGAUGCUCCUUUUCCGGCAGGUGUGCUACGCCAAAAUUUCCACGACAGUGUACCUGGCCCAGGAGGGGGCGCCGUAUUGUCAUCGACUGCCCAACACGACACAUCUGUCCCUAUCUACGCCGGUGAUCUACCGUCUCCCGCGCCAUGUUCCAACCCUCACUGCUACGUUGGUUUGUGCAUUGUUAACUGCGGGGUUACAAUAACAUCUUAUCUCCACUACAACUGCAUGCACCAUCAACUGUUAACAGCAUGUGCGGCCGUCAGUGAGCUAUCAGUCUGUGGGUGGAUGUGGGCUGCUGGUUUGUUCCAGCACCGCACGGACCGUUGACGCAUGUACAUGCAUCAUGCUAAUCCCCUGAUUUCUUUAUGCAGAUAUCGAACAGUUUGGAGUUGAGACUCUCCUACCUAUCUGAGCAGAUGGGCACAAGGCCACAGGGACGUGGAUCCUCUGACUUUGCAAUCCCUGCCAUACCCUGCCUUUGAGUCACUGACAGGUGGGCCCCAUACUUUGUGGGACCCGUGUGUCAGUGACUCAAAGGUAGGCUUGGCCACGGCAGGGGAUCCUCGUCCAGGCCACAGGGGCUGUUGUCAGCGCAAGCCAAGCUAGAAAUGAAGUAUUUUUCCAGCCGGCCGGGGACGCUGGUCGUCAUGCGUACGACGGCCUUUCCAUGCCGCGAAAAGGCCCCGGAUUGUGCUCCUGGAGCACUGUUCAUUUUUUUUUAGAUCUGUCGCCAAAUCUUGUGUGACAGUGUACCCGGCCGACCCAGGAAAGGCACCCAUGUUGGUUGAUACGCGCUUAUACAGAGAUGGUUCGGAGCUCAUCCGGAUUCUAUGCAUGCGCCCAUCGCAUGCAUUAUUCACUUGACCUGAUCGUCAGCAACACGGGCCAAAACGAGACACGUACAUGUGUUCAUCUUAUAGGAGAACGAUCGACCCACUUGCACGGUGGAUCGCCGCAACAUCGAUCGGGUAUGCGCCACUCGAUCGAUCCGGAGAACCGUGGUGUAGGAUCGCUGUCGCUACCAAGUUGCCUGAGCUACUUACACUUACUGGAGUAGAGUGUAAGUUUUAGCUUGUCUUGCACUAUACCGCUGGCUAGUGGCCAAGGGGAACCAGCUAGAAGCGUCUCAUUCCAUGGCGUAGCAUCCAAUUAGAGUAUUGGGCGCGUCUGCUGGGUGGCCGGCUGCCCAGUAAAGCGAUCCAACGGCCCGGUCAAAUAAGGUAAGUAUUUAUCUUUUUUAUUGUCAGAAAAAGAAAACAAAGAAAAUAGUCACCCGGCCUACCGUUUGGGCAGCCUUUGCAUGCAUGCGUCUAGUGUUUGCAUGCCGAUACAUUAAUGUUUCUCACGUUUGUCUCUUGUGCAUUAAUUUUUGGUUUUUCAAAAUUAUAAAAGAUAUAUCUUUUAAACCGCGUGUCGAAAUUCAGAUCCGUUUUCACCGUAGAAACCCUCGCGGCGUGCUCUUCAAAAGUAGAUCCCGCAUGGGAAUGUUUCGAUGAACUAGUCUUCCUGCCAACUAAACAUCAAUAUGUGUGCAACUAGACUACAUGAUGCGCCAACUGAGCAUAUGUGUGUGCCAGUAGUUCUUCUGUCAACUAAACAUCAAUGUGUGUACAACUAGACUACAUUUCCGCGCCAAUUGAGCAUAUGUGUGUACCAAUAGUCUUGCCAACUAAAUGUCAAUGUGUGUGCAACUAGACUACAUUGCCGUGUCAACUGAGCAUAUAUGUGUAUAACUAGUCCUGUCAACUAAAUAUCAAUGUGUGUGCAACUAGACUACAUUGCCGCGUCGAUUGCGCAUAUGUGUGUGCAACUAGUGUCCUGCCAACUAAACAUCAAUAUGUGUGCAACUAGACUAAAUUACAAGCCAACUGAGCAUAUGCAUGUGCAACUAGUCCCUCUAGCAACUAAACAUCAAUGUGUGCGCAACUAGACUACAUUAUAAGCCAAUUAAACAUUAAUGUGUGUACAAACUAGACUAAAUUACAAAACAACUGAUUUUAAAAAAAGUUGCACCAUAUAAUACUAAAGUUGCACAAUGCAGUACUUUAGUUGCACCAUAUAGCAUCAAAGUUGACAUCAGAAAAAUUUCGUCGAAACAUAUCCAUGCGAGAUCUAGUUUUAAAGAUUUCGUCGCGAUAAAUCCAACGGUGAAAACGGAACUGAAUUCCGACGUCUGGUUUAAAAGAUAUGGCUUUAAAAGAAUUUGAAAUUUUGAAAUAAAAGUACGUGGAUCUAUUUUCUCUAACUGAUGAGACUAGUAUGAACACAUUUAAUGCCAGCACCCACAUGCGCUACGAGACAAAAAAAUACACAUGCAAGUGUGUGACAGACGCGGCCGCUCGAAAACACCAAAAAUCGCACGGCCAUUUUUUAGAUUUUGGGUGGAGUGUUCAACAACAGUCACAGUCUUGCUUCUGCCCACUGCUGGGUUACGUGCUAACUAUCUCCUCUGUCGUUGUAGCAUCAAUGAUGAUCCGGCAUCACGGACACUAUUACGAAAAGCCAGGGAGAAGAACCGAUAGCACUUCACCGUAGCUGUACGUAGGCAAUGUUGGAUAGCUGGCCCUGGCCAGCCCGGCCGGACGUGUACGUAGCACGAGUCGACACGACUCGGGAAAGUAGUCCGGCCAGAUUUGCGGCCGUCUGCCGUCGCCGUCGCGCGUCAUCCGUCCCGCCUCGCCAGACCUCCACGCGCGUACGGCUCUCCUCUUCACCAUGCGAUCAACAGCAGCAGCCAGAUACAGCGACGGAGCAAAAGCUAUGGACGGAUGCAGCCGGAAGGAAAAAAAAAUGUCAAAUCAACCUUUGUCACUGACCAUAAAAUCUCUGAGCUUUUAACUUUUGCUUGACUGAUUACGCACUACUACACCACCGUGUGGUUUACCCACGGGCCACGGUUGCACUCCUCACUGUUAUAUGUUAUAUGUGCUCGAUUUUAAAACCACCACUUGAUUAUAUAUGCUAGCUCGUUCACGAGUCCUGACAUCCGAUUACGACCUAAUGCAUUGUUAACAAAUAUUCCAUCCCCACUGCAUUAGUAGCACGUCAUCGAUGAUCCAUAAUAAGAAAUCUUAAUUUGUUCUUGCCUACUACGCACCUAAUCCUCUGCAGAUCAUCCGGGCGAGUGGUCGACCCGAAAUUGUUAACAACAAAUGUAGGCAUCGGAGCGUGGUUAGGGUGGACUCCUCCGGCUCCGUUCACGCAUCGCAUGGACCGUUGAUGCAUGCAUCCGUCAUCAGUUCAGCAAGAAUUCCCCCCUUAACACUUUUAUUCAGAUUAUUUUAUCGACCUAAGAAGGUGAGAGCUGAACAAUUUAUGGCACGAUGGAAUUAAUAAGCACGCUUGCGUUCCAUAGCGAGAGCGGCGUCAUCGUCCUUCUAGUGCGUUGCGCCUUUUUGACGGAGAUCCUUGCCUCUCAAGCUAGGCUUGGAGUGAUGCAUGUGUAUGUCAAAGAUUGAUCCUUGCCGCUAGUAGGUCACUGAUCUCGCACUUGGGGGUCAUCACGAUCAUGUAUACAUCCGCUUUCCCGAGGAAGGCAGAAAUGGUCUCGAGCUUCAUCUCUUCAACCGUGUAAAAAUGCUGCAAGCUUGGGGACCGGUUUUCUUCCAUGGUGACGGGAGUUCCAAAGGCAGGCAGCGGUGCAUGCCCGCCCGAACAAGGAAGACGCGCUACACGAGACAAAGUCUGGUUCCUCAAUAGGAAGCCGCGUCCGUGCCCGUACAUGGGCUCGUACUUAUUGACUAGUGUGGCGUUAAUUCCGGACCGUACGUGGUCGACGGCUGCGGGCGCAGAACUGGACCUACCGUCUGCAUCCACCGUAGCAAAAACGAUGAUGAUGAUGACGAGGGCCGGGUGUCUUGGGAUCAAGUCGAAUCCCACAACCACCCGGAAAAAAAAAGUCGAAUCCCACAACAACGCAAUUGGCAAAAGCCAGCGACAGCAGUGCACCACACUCCAACGCCAGAUCGGUCCAUGGAUCUCCAAAGUCAGUCGGUCAAUGCUCACUCGGCCCGGCCUGCACGUGGACGUACAUCGACGAGACGACCCGGCAAAGUCGUCCGGCCACCGCUCGCGCCCACUGGCCCCGUCGCGCUCUGAGGCGUCGUGGAUCCUUCCCGGCUCCCCGCACCGCCACGCGCGCACGGCUCUGUACUGCUCCCCUCACCCACCUGCCCACCCGUCCAAUCAAGCAAACACAAGCAACCAACGCCGGAGCAGAACGCACCAAAGGUGUCAAAUCGAUCCUUAUGAUUACGUAAGUGCGGUUAUCCAACGGCCUUGAGCGCCUUGGCCUUGUGCCUGUCGUCGUGCACGUCCAGCUUGAGCACAACCUUCUGCAGCCGUCACACAAGAAAAACCAAAUCAGCAAACCGUAGGAGCAAAACGAUGCCAAGAGCCUGUUUCCUCCUGCUCUGCUUCGCCGCACAGUAGUAAUUAUGCGCUCAAUUGAAGGCCAGAAUUCUCAUCCGUAUCUCAAUUUGGGCUGCCUCAGGCAUCGACCAGCUGGGCGUGGACAUGAAGGACCAGAAGAUGACCAUCGUGGGCACCGUCGACCCCGUCGCCGUCGUCGGCAAGCUGCGCAAGCUCUUCCCCGGCGUGCAAAUCGUCUCCAUCGGCCCGGCCAAGGACGAGAAGAAGGACGACAAAAAGGACGCCGGCAGGGACAAGAAGCCCGCCGGAGACAAGAAAGAGGGCGACAAGAAGGACGGCGACAAGAAAGAUGGAGACAAGAAGGACGGCGGCGACAAGAAGCAGCAGGAGGCGAAGCCGCCCAUGUCCGUGUACCCGCACUACGCCUACGCGCACUACGGCUACCCGCCGCCGCCGCGCUACUUCGUCCGCAGCGCCGAGGAGGACCCCAAUUCGUGCGUCAUCUGCUGAUCGGCGUCGGCGCCCAUCUCUGCCCCUUGUACAUUUCCCACGUGUCCUCCUCUACUGCUGCCGGCGCUGCCAGUGGACAGUGGUUGGUAGUUGCUCUACUCAUCAGCCUACCUGCCGCAGCGAUCGACGGUGUGCGUUACAGUUACGUAGUAUAGUAUAAUACGACCGUGUAAUUACCCGUUCGUUUAUUACUGUGCAAGAUGUUGACUGCCCGAAGGAUGCAAUACUAGUAAUACUAGUAGAGUGCCCGUGCGUUGGUGCGUUGCCACGGGCUUUAAAAAGAUUGAGAACGUUCUUUUGU
Molecule: long non-coding RNA, 8246 nt
Filed under: Triticum aestivum (bread wheat)
Lineage: Eukaryota; Viridiplantae; Streptophyta; Magnoliopsida; Poales; Poaceae
Description: long non-coding RNA (TAES_LNC021516)
Source: RNAcentral